Molecule: non-coding RNA, 82 nt
Filed under: human gut metagenome
Also listed under: 1 other name
Description: Cyclic di-GMP-I riboswitch
Rfam family: c-di-GMP-I riboswitch aptamer
About the family: GEMM was predicted in a large-scale screen for bacterial structured RNA regulatory elements.
Source: RNAcentral
AAUAUGGGCAAACUUACUGAAAAGUAAGGACGCAAAGCUAAGGGUCUAACCCAUGGAAACAUGGUAUGACAGCCGGUUGCUA